This 467-nucleotide ribosomal RNA is filed under the name uncultured bacterium. RNAcentral describes it as "partial 16S ribosomal RNA". It matches the Rfam family "Bacterial small subunit ribosomal RNA", at positions 28 to 507 of the family's 1533-position model. The record is from RNAcentral.
GACGAACGCUGGCGGCGUGCUUAACACAUGCAAGUCGAACGGAAAGGCCCCAGCUUGCUGGAGUACUCGAGUGGCGAACGGGUGAGUAACACGUGGGUAAUCUGCCCUGCACUCUGGGAUAAGCCUGGGAAACUGGGUCUAAUACCGGAUAUGACCUUUCUCCUUAUGGGGUUUGGUGGAAAGUUUUUCGGUGUAGGAUGGGCCCGCGGCCUAUCAGCUUGUUGGUGGGGGGAUGGGCUAACAAGGCGACGACGGGUAGCCGGCCUGAGAGGGUGAUCGGCCACAUUGGGACUGAGAUACGGCCCAGACUCCUACGGGAGGCAGCAGUGGGGAAUAUUGCACAAUGGGCGGAAGCCUGAUGCAGCGACGCCGCGUGCGGGAUGACGGCCUUCGGGUUGUAAACCUCUUUCGGCAGGGACGAAGCGUAAGUGACGGUACCUGCAGAAGAAGCACCGGCUAACUAUGUG